This 728-nucleotide ribosomal RNA is filed under the name uncultured fungus. RNAcentral's name for it is "eukaryotic LSU rRNA". The stretch from base 306 to 459 matches the Rfam family "5.8S ribosomal RNA". The record is from RNAcentral. Lineage: Eukaryota; Fungi.
CUUGGUCAUUUAGAGGAAGUAAAAGUCGUAACAAGGUUUCCGUAGGUGAACCUGCGGAAGGAUCAUUAUUGAAUUUUUGGGGGUUGUAGCUGACUCUUUCAGAGUAUGUGCUCGCCUUCAACUCUUCUCUUUACCACCUGUGCACCUUUGUAGUCUCUUGAUACCUCUCAAAGAGUUUAUUCUCUUUGGAUUGAUGGACUUGCCUUCAUUGGCUUGUCUUCAAUUUCAUGAGACUAUGUCUUACAAACUCUAUACAAAACCAGAAUGUCUUUUGUAGUGUCUUUAUAUGACCUAUAAACUUAUACAACUUUUAACAACGGAUCUCUUGGCUCUCGCAUCGAUGAAGAACGCAGCGAAAUGCGAUAAGUAAUGUGAAUUGCAGAUUUCAGUGAAUCAUCGAAUCUUUGAACGCACCUUGCACCCUUUGGUAUUCCGAAGGGUAUGCCUGUUUGAGUGUCAUUAAAUUCUCAAACCUUCAACUUUAUUGUUUGAAGGCUUUGGAUGUGGGAGUCUUUGCUGGACGCUCUUGAGUGGUCAGCUCUCCUUAAAUGCAUUAGCGGUUACUGAUUCCGCUACUUGGUGUUGAUAGUCUAUCUUACGCCCUGUAGUCGAAAUCAACUUAUGUAUCUGCUGCUAAUCGUCGCUCUUUUGUGACAAUUUUAUUGACUCUUUGACCUCAAAUCAGGUAGGACUACCCGCUGAACUUAAGCAUAUCAAUAAGCGGAGGA